Molecule: ribosomal RNA, 840 nt
Filed under: Tricladium obesum
Lineage: Eukaryota; Fungi; Ascomycota; Leotiomycetes; Helotiales; Tricladiaceae
Description: eukaryotic LSU rRNA
Rfam family: Eukaryotic large subunit ribosomal RNA
Source: RNAcentral
GGGAUUACCUCAGUAACGGCGAGUGAAGCGGUAACAGCUCAAAUUUGAAAUCUGGCUCUUUCAGGGUCCGAGUUGUAAUUUGUAGACGAUGCUUUGGGUGUGGUGCCGGUCUAAGUUCCUUGGAACAGGACGUCAUAGAGGGUGAGAAUCCCGUAUGUGAUCGGUCGCCUUCGCCCGUGUAAAGCUCGUUCGACGAGUCGAGUUGUUUGGGAAUGCAGCUCAAAAUGGGUGGUAAAUUUCAUCUAAAGCUAAAUAUUGGCCAGAGACCGAUAGCGCACAAGUAGAGUGAUCGAAAGAUGAAAAGCACUUUGGAAAGAGAGUUAAACAGUACGUGAAAUUGUUGAAAGGGAAGCGCUUGCAACCAGACUUGGGCUGUCGCAAUCAUCCGGGGCUCGCCCCGGUGCACUUGUGGCGGCACAGGCCAGCAUCAGUUUCGGUGGUGGGAUAAAGGCCUUGGGAAUGUAGCUUCUUUCGGGGAGUGUUAUAGCCCUCGGUGCAAUGCCGCCUACCGGGACUGAGGACCGCGCUUCGGCUAGGAUGCUGGCGUAAUGGUUGUAAGCGACCCGUCUUGAAACACGGACCAAGGAGUCUAACAUCUAUGCGAGUGUUUGGGUGUCAAACCCAUACGCGUAAUGAAAGUGAACGGAGGUGAGAACCCGUUAGGGUGCAUCAUCGACCGAUCCUGAUGUCUUCGGAUGGAUUUGAGUAAGAGCAUAGCUGUUGGGACCCGAAAGAUGGUGAACUAUGCCUAAAUAGGGUGAAGCCAGAGGAAACUCUGGUGGAGGCUCGCAGCGGUUCUGACGUGCAAAUCGAUCGUCAAAUUUGGGUAUAGGGGCGAAA